This 45-nucleotide non-coding RNA is filed under the name Schistosoma mansoni. Lineage: Eukaryota; Metazoa; Platyhelminthes; Trematoda; Strigeidida; Schistosomatidae. The record is from RNAcentral.
AUCCAUCUGACAAGUCCCAAGUAGGAUGAAACGUGAGUCCUGGAU